Molecule: ribosomal RNA, 553 nt
Filed under: uncultured bacterium
Lineage: Bacteria
Description: bacterial SSU rRNA
Rfam family: Bacterial small subunit ribosomal RNA
Source: RNAcentral
GAGAGGAAGGUCCCCCACAUUGGAACUGAGACACGGUCCAAACUCCUACGGGAGGCAGCAGUGAGGAAUAUUGGUCAAUGGACGAGAGUCUGAACCAGCCAAGUAGCGUGAAGGAUGACUGCCCUAUGGGUUGUAAACUUCUUUUAUAUGGGAAUAAAACGUUCCACGUGUGGGAUUUUGUAUGUACCAUAUGAAUAAGGAUCGGCUAACUCCGUGCCAGCAGCCGCGGUAAUACGGAGGAUCCGAGCGUUAUCCGGAUUUAUUGGGUUUAAAGGGAGCGUAGGUGGAUUGUUAAGUCAGUUGUGAAAGUUUGCGGCUCAACCGUAAAAUUGCAGUUGAAACUGGCAGUCUUGAGUACAGUAGAGGUGGGCGGAAUUCGUGGUGUAGCGGUGAAAUGCUUAGAUAUCACGAAGAACUCCGAUUGCGAAGGCAGCUCACUGGACUGCAACUGACACUGAGGCUCGAAAGUGUGGGUAUCAAACAGGAUUAGAUACCCUGGUAGUCCACACAGUAAACGAUGAAUACUCGCUGUUUGCGAUAUACAGCAAGCGGC